This 535-nucleotide ribosomal RNA is filed under the name uncultured bacterium. RNAcentral describes it as "bacterial SSU rRNA". It matches the Rfam family "Bacterial small subunit ribosomal RNA", at positions 371 to 898 of the family's 1533-position model. The record is from RNAcentral.
AUGGGCGCAAGCCUGAUCCAGCAAUACCGCGUGUGUGAAGAAGGCCUUAGGGUUGUAAAGCACUUUCAAUUGGGAGGAAAACCUGCCGGUCAAUACCCGGUAGCUUGACAUUACCUUUAGAAGAAGCACCGGCUAACUCCGUGCCAGCAGCCGCGGUAAUACGGAGGGUGCGAGCGUUAAUCGGAAUUACUGGGCGUAAAGCGUGCGUAGGCGGUUGUUUAAGUCAGAUGUGAAAGCCCCGGGCUUAACCUGGGAACUGCAUUUGAUACUGGCGGACUAGAGUUGAGUAGAGGGGAGUGGAAUUUCAGGUGUAGCGGUGAAAUGCGUAGAUAUCUGAAGGAACACCAGUGGCGAAGGCGACUCCCUGGACUCAAACUGACGCUGAGGUACGAAAGCGUGGGUAGCAAACAGGAUUAGAUACCCUGGUAGUCCACGCCGUAAACGAUGUCAACUAGCCGUUGGUCCUAUUUACAGGAUUAGUGGCGCAGCUAACGCAUUAAGUUGACCGCCUGGGGAGCACGGCCGCAAGGUUAAA